CUACGGGGCGCACCAGUGAGGAAUAUUGCACAAUGGGGGGAACCCUGAUGCAGCAACGCCGCGUGGAGGAUGACGCAUUUCGGUGUGUAAACUCCUUUUAUAUGUCAAGAAAAUGACGGUAGCAUAUGAAUAAGCACCGGCUAACUCCGUGCCAGCAGCCGCGGUAAUACGGAGGGUGCAAGCGUUACUCGGAAUCACUGGGCGUAAAGGACGCGUAGGCGGGUUGGAAAGUCAGGUGUGAAAUCCUACAGCUUAACUGUAGAACUGCACUUGAAACUUCUAAUCUAGAGUAUGGGAGGGGGAGAUGGAAUUAGUGGUGUAGGGGUAAAAUCCGCAGAUAUCACUAGGAAUACCUAAAGCGAAGGCGAUCUCCUGGAACAUUACUGACGCUAAGGCGUGAAAGCGUGGGGAGCAAACAGGAUUAGAUACCCGCGUAGUC
Molecule: ribosomal RNA, 439 nt
Filed under: uncultured bacterium
Lineage: Bacteria
Description: partial 16S ribosomal RNA
Rfam family: Bacterial small subunit ribosomal RNA
Source: RNAcentral